AGAAUGACUCUCGACAACGGAUAUCUAGGCUCUUGCAUCGAUGAAGAACGUAGCGAAAUGCGAUACUUGGUGUGAAUUGCAGAAUCCCGUGAACCAUCGAGUCUUUGAACGCAAGUUGCGCCCGAUGCCAUUAGGUUGAGGGCACGUCUGCCUGGGCGUCACAU
RNAcentral lists this ribosomal RNA (164 nucleotides) under Trifolium montanum. Its description in RNAcentral is "5.8S ribosomal RNA". It matches the Rfam family "5.8S ribosomal RNA". Rfam says of the family: 5.8S ribosomal RNA (5.8S rRNA) is a component of the large subunit of the eukaryotic ribosome. It is transcribed by RNA polymerase I as part of the 45S precursor that also contains 18S and 28S rRNA. The record is from RNAcentral. Lineage: Eukaryota; Viridiplantae; Streptophyta; Magnoliopsida; Fabales; Fabaceae. RNAcentral also lists the same sequence under 1 other name.